RNAcentral lists this ribosomal RNA (1501 nucleotides) under Staphylococcus aureus. RNAcentral describes it as "partial 23S ribosomal RNA". It matches the Rfam family "Bacterial large subunit ribosomal RNA", at positions 261 to 1762 of the family's 2925-position model. Lineage: Bacteria; Bacillati; Bacillota; Bacilli; Caryophanales; Staphylococcaceae. The record is from RNAcentral.
GGAAGAGCCCAAACCAACAAGCUUGCUUGUUGGGGUUGUAGGACACUCUAUACGGAGUUACAAAGGACGACAUUAGACGAAUCAUCUGGAAAGAUGAAUCAAAGAAGGUAAUAAUCCUGUAGUCGAAAAUGUUGUCUCUCUUGAGUGGAUCCUGAGUACGACGGAGCACGUGAAAUUCCGUCGGAAUCUGGGAGGACCAUCUCCUAAGGCUAAAUACUCUCUAGUGACCGAUAGUGAACCAGUACCGUGAGGGAAAGGUGAAAAGCACCCCGGAAGGGGAGUGAAAUAGAACCUGAAACCGUGUGCUUACAAGUAGUCAGAGCCCGUUAAUGGGUGAUGGCGUGCCUUUUGUAGAAUGAACCGGCGAGUUACGAUUUGAUGCAAGGUUAAGCAGUAAAUGUGGAGCCGUAGCGAAAGCGAGUCUGAAUAGGGCGUUUAGUAUUUGGUCGUAGACCCGAAACCAGGUGAUCUACCCUUGGUCAGGUUGAAGUUCAGGUAACACUGAAUGGAGGACCGAACCGACUUACGUUGAAAAGUGAGCGGAUGAACUGAGGGUAGCGGAGAAAUUCCAAUCGAACCUGGAGAUAGCUGGUUCUCUCCGAAAUAGCUUUAGGGCUAGCCUCAAGUGAUGAUUAUUGGAGGUAGAGCACUGUUUGGACGAGGGGCCCCUCUCGGGUUACCGAAUUCAGACAAACUCCGAAUGCCAAUUAAUUUAACUUGGGAGUCAGAACAUGGGUGAUAAGGUCCGUGUUCGAAAGGGAAACAGCCCAGACCACCAGCUAAGGUCCCAAAAUAUAUGUUAAGUGGAAAAGGAUGUGGCGUUGCCCAGACAACUAGGAUGUUGGCUUAGAAGCAGCCAUCAUUUAAAGAGUGCGUAAUAGCUCACUAGUCGAGUGACACUGCGCCGAAAAUGUACCGGGGCUAAACAUAUUACCGAAGCUGUGGAUUGUCCUUUGGACAAUGGUAGGAGAGCGUUCUAAGGGCGUUGAAGCAUGAUCGUAAGGACAUGUGGAGCGCUUAGAAGUGAGAAUGCCGGUGUGAGUAGCGAAAGACGGGUGAGAAUCCCGUCCACCGAUUGACUAAGGUUUCCAGAGGAAGGCUCGUCCGCUCUGGGUUAGUCGGGUCCUAAGCUGAGGCCGACAGGCGUAGGCGAUGGAUAACAGGUUGAUAUUCCUGUACCACCUAUAAUCGUUUUAAUCGAUGGGGGGACGCAGUAGGAUAGGCGAAGCGUGCGAUUGGAUUGCACGUCUAAGCAGUAAGGCUGAGUAUUAGGCAAAUCCGGUACUCGUUAAGGCUGAGCUGUGAUGGGGAGAAGACAUUGUGUCUUCGAGUCGUUGAUUUCACACUGCCGAGAAAAGCCUCUAGAUAGAAAAUAGGUGCCCGUACCGCAAACCGACACAGGUAGUCAAGAUGAGAAUUCUAAGGUGAGCGAGCGAACUCUCGUUAAGGAACUCGGCAAAAUGACCCCGUAACUUCGGGAGAAGGGGUGCUCUUUAGGGUU